GGGCGAGUGGCGGAAUUGGUAGACGCGCACGGUUCAGAGCCGUGUGGAAGUAAUUCCGUGAGAGUUCAAGUCUCUCCUCGCCCACCA
RNAcentral lists this transfer RNA (87 nucleotides) under Candidatus Nomurabacteria bacterium. RNAcentral describes it as "tRNA-Leu". It matches the Rfam family "tRNA". From Rfam's summary of the family: Transfer RNA (tRNA) molecules are approximately 80 nucleotides in length. Their secondary structure includes four short double-helical elements and three loops (D, anti-codon, and T loops). Lineage: Bacteria; Candidatus Nomuraibacteriota. The record is from RNAcentral.